This 329-nucleotide ribosomal RNA is filed under the name uncultured eukaryote. RNAcentral's name for it is "partial 18S ribosomal RNA". It matches the Rfam family "Eukaryotic small subunit ribosomal RNA", at positions 1470 to 1796 of the family's 1831-position model. The record is from RNAcentral.
CCCUUAGUUGUCCUGGGCUGCACGCGCGCUACACUGACGAUGGCAACGAGUUUUUCCUUCGCCGAAAGGUGUGGGUAAUCUUUUGAAACAUCGUCGUGCUGGGGAUAGGUCAUUGCAAUUUUUGAUCUUGAACGAGGAAUUCCUAGUAAGCGCGAGUCAUCAGCUCGCGUUGAUUACGUCCCUGCCCUUUGUACACACCGCCCGUCGCUACUACCGAUUGAAUGGUCUAGUGAGGACUCCUGAUUGGCGCCGCCGCCCCGGCAACGGAGCAGCGGACUGCCGAAAAGUUGUUCAAACUUGAUCAUUUAGAGGAAGUAAAAGUCGUAACA